Molecule: long non-coding RNA, 419 nt
Organism: Drosophila navojoa
Lineage: Eukaryota; Metazoa; Arthropoda; Insecta; Diptera; Drosophilidae
Source: RefSeq, a predicted model, not a curated record
GUUUUAUCUGGCAACAUGUUUACAUUCAACAAUAAAAUAAUAGCAACUUUACUGGAUUCUUUCCAUGGAUUGCUUAAUAGUUUUGCGUUUUAUAAUAAUUUUAACAUUCUUGUUCUCACACGUUCAGUGUCUUAGCUUCACAAUCUUACAUAAUAAUGAUAUGCACGCCCGAUACGAUCCAGCUGUCAGCGGUGUCCCUCAGGUGACGAUGAGAAGGGCUUGUGUUUUGGAGGAUUGGGUAGGGUAGCUACAGUUGUGAACAGGGCUCGAGUUAAGGGUGCAACGCUUUAUCUUAAGGCGAUACUUUUUACGGCAUCAAUUGGUAAACAGCCCAUAAGGGGGAAUGGACAGCUGAUCUCUUGAAUAUAAUACAUCCCGAUGCCUUGUCGCUUGGCAAUCACGAACUCCAUGACGACCUG